Chinchilla lanigera (long-tailed chinchilla) is the source of this 2494-nucleotide long non-coding RNA. RefSeq lists it as uncharacterized. The transcript has 3 exons. NCBI's taxonomy places the organism in Eukaryota, Metazoa, Chordata, Mammalia, Rodentia, Chinchillidae. The record is from RefSeq and is a predicted model, not a curated record.
GGAGGAGCCUGAGGGCCCGAGAGGUGAGGGGGCCGGCUCAGAGGCACCCUGUGAGAGCCAGAGGGCAGCCCUGGCCAGGAGCAGACGAGCCCGAAAGAGGGAAGGAGGAAGUGUCCUGAUCGGUGUGUCUGCUUUCUCCCUGUUGGCUGAUGGCCUGGCUUGUGACCUGACAGCGGGGGCACCCACCAUCACACGGCUCAGAACCUUCUCCAUGCAUCAGCCUCACGACAAAGGUCAAGCCUCUGCAAGCUGUGCACAAGAUUCUCUGAGGCCUUGUCUUUGAAUGGUGUCCCACAUCACCUGGACUGUCUCUCAGCGCAUGAAUCAGAUGUGCAAGUCUGUGCACCUGGAGGUUGUUAUUGUUAGUUAUUUUCUGCCCCUGAAAGCCUCAGGUUUUAAGAUUGACUUUUUUCUUUUUUUAGGUCAGGAGACUUCUCAGGGGUGAAAGAGUCAAGUCCAAACUUGUUUCCUGUAAGGGAGAGAAGCUGUCCACCCACCCAUCUGUCCACCAUCCAUCCGUCCACCCACUUAUCUACUUAACUCCCCACCCAUCCAUUCACCUCCUUACCUCCCCCGCCCCCACCUAUCCAGUAUUCUCUGAGUAUAUUCUGGGCCAGGCUCUGCGCUGAGAGCUGAAGACUGUACAGAUCAGUCAAGUACCUCCCCUAGUCUCCAGCACCGCACAGUGGGACGGAGAAAGAUGGUGCAAAUAGACUAUAAAAAAUAAAUGUAAAUGCCACGAUGAGGCAAGUCAGGUGCUGUGGACCACAGAGGUCUUCACUCAGUCAUGGGGGUCAGAGGGGUCUUGGAGGAUGUAGGUGCUCUUGAGUUGAUCUGGAAGGACCAGAGGCAGAGAAAGCAUGAAAGUUAAGGGCCAGAAUGUGCAAAGGCCCAGGGAAUGUGUCAAAUAGCAUGUCACACUCUUUUGCAAACAGUGUAUGCUGGAGAAGGCGGUGGUGGUAGAGUGGGGUGGGAGAGAGAUCACAGCUAGAGUCCAAUGCAGAUUUCUUGACCUGUGGACCUGUUCUAGGUUCAUCUGGGAGUAGACAGGGAGGGAGCACAGAUGGAGGCCUCCCAGAACCAGAGCCGUUGUGGCUUGUGAUAGGCAGCUGGCUCUGAGUGAGUGUGUACUAAGCCCAGGGGCAAGGCAGCCUUUCAGGCUAGCUUAUUGACCAGGCGAGCAUUAGCAGGGUGAGGCCCAAGCUGCAGAGCCUGGCAGAUGGGUUCCAUUUCUGAGCCUCAGUCUCCCAAUGCUAAGCUGAGGAGCUGUUAUUCGGCGAUUGAGGCUGCUGAUGUUCCUUCCCUUUCCCUUACAGGGUAACUCCAAAUGGCCACUCUAGCUUCAGGCUGGGGGCUCUCCCACAGUACCUGAACCUACUUUCUCCAGUUCCGUCCAGGCAGGGUGAUUGUCCAAAACAGUCCCGAAUGUACCACUCACUGCUUGUGGAUAAAAGCACAGUUCUUAAAGAGGCAUUAAAAAAAUUCCACACUUUAUAAACAUAGUCUCUGCCUCCCUUCCUUCCUAUUCUGUCCCUCCCUUCCUUCCUUCCAUCCACGUAUCCAUCCAUCCUUCCAUCCUUCCAUCGUUCCUUCCUUCCUUGCUUCCCACCCUUUAUCUAGCCUCUCAGUCGUUCAACAAACAGCUAUUUCUUAUCUCACUCUCCUUUCUCCUGUUCACUCACUGCGCACUGCCCUCUUGCCUUGUGUCUGAGGGGCAGUCUCCCCCUCUGUUUGGUGAGAGGUAGUGCUGGUGGUGAGGCUGUUGCUCUUCUCCUUUGCCUAUCACUCACCUUUUCUUCAAGGUCACUUCCUCUGUGAAGGCUCCUGCCUUACCAGCGAUCCUUCCUCUCGGCUUCCACUCUGAGGCGCUUGUCUCUUUAUGGGGUGUAUAAUUCACAGCAUUGUUUCUGUGCCUGUCUGUUGCUCACUGUCCUACCCCAGCUCCACCAGGGUGGCUUCACUGUGCAUUGUUUAGGUUGUGCACUGCACAAGAAUACCGAACUGAAGGAGGUGAUGUGGUGGGAGGCUACAUCUGCUCAGAAGGAGGAAUGCUUUUUUUCUAAAUUUUCCAAAGGCACUUGCUCUCCAAGAGAUUGGUUCAAUUGGCUGAAUCUAUUUCAAGUGGGCACUUUUGCUCUUUCUCAAACUAAGGUUCUUUGAGCUAGCGUGAUGGAUUAACUAAUGGUCACCUUGUAACACCCAGCUGAACUGAAUCAUGUGAUUCUGGGCAUGGAAGGCCCACCUGAGGAGUGCUGCCAAUGGCAUAAACUGGAGGGAAACAUGGUAUGCUGUUGAUUCUCCUGGAGAAGCUUAUCAUACUGGCAUUCCUGAUAUGAACUCAGCUGUUCUCAUCGUUGGAGGAGCUUGGAUCCUCGCUGUCACUGAGAUUGGCUGCCAGUCUCUUCUAGUCCUUAGGCUGCCAGGAGCUCUCUGGUCCUUACCUUGAGCAUUGCUUCCUGGCUCCAGUACAGACCCCUCAGCCUCCUGGCACAGA